This is a long non-coding RNA of Lucilia sericata (common green bottle fly), 318 nucleotides long. RefSeq lists it as uncharacterized. The record is from RefSeq and is a predicted model, not a curated record. The transcript is spliced from 2 exons. NCBI's taxonomy places the organism in Eukaryota, Metazoa, Arthropoda, Insecta, Diptera, Calliphoridae.
GCAACUUCUUUUAGUACCAAAAAAAUAUUUAAACUUGGUAGAACUUUUUUAAUUGUUCUGCAACAAAUUAAAUUUAUUUUAUAUUUAUAUUUUUAAAAUCUUGGAAAAUAUACUUUCCAAGCAUAUGUUCUUGUCAGAGGCGGCACUCUAGUGUUUUUGCCUUCAAUUUCCAUGCAAGCUAGACAAGAUUUGGCCAAUAAAUGUUGAUGGAAAGUGGGUUUUAACAACAUUACCACAAAAUCUAUAAGGAGCGUUUGGAAUAUGUAAUGCUGACCUAUCGUUUCUAUACAUUUUCUUAACUCGAAGAGUUUAUGAGUU